GAUGAACGCUGGCGGCGUGCUUAACACAUGCAAGUCGAACGAAGCAUUUAGAACGGAUUACUUCGGUUUGAAGUUCUUUAUGACUGAGUGGCGGACGGGUGAGUAACGCGUGGGUAACCUGACUUGUACUGGGGGAUAGCAGCUGGAAACGGCUGGUAAUACCGCAUAAGCGCACAAUGUUGCAUGACAUGGUGUGAAAAACUCCGGUGGUAUAAGAUGGACCCGCUUCUGAUUAGCUAGUUGGUGAGAUAACAGCCCACCAAGGCGACGAUCAGUAGCCGACCUGUGAGGGUGACCGGCCACAUUGGGACUGAGACACGGCCCAGACUCCUACGGGAGGCAGCAGUGGGGAAUAUUGCACAAUGGAGGAAACUCUGAUGCAGCGACGCCGCGUGAGUGAAGAAGUAAUUCGUUAUGUAAAGCUCUAUCAGCAGGGAAGAUAGUGACGGUACCUGACUAAGAAGCUCCGGCUAAAUACGUGCCAGCCGCCGCGGUAA
This 497-nucleotide ribosomal RNA is filed under the name uncultured bacterium. RNAcentral describes it as "partial 16S ribosomal RNA". It matches the Rfam family "Bacterial small subunit ribosomal RNA", at positions 28 to 523 of the family's 1533-position model. The record is from RNAcentral.